Molecule: ribosomal RNA, 492 nt
Filed under: uncultured bacterium
Lineage: Bacteria
Description: partial 16S ribosomal RNA
Rfam family: Bacterial small subunit ribosomal RNA
Source: RNAcentral
GGUGAACGCUGGCGGUAGGCCUAACACAUGCAAGUCGAACGGCAGCACAGUAAGAGCUUGCUCUUACGGGUGGCGAGUGGCGGACAGGUGAGGAAUACAUCGGAAUCUACUUUUUCGUGGGGGAUAACGUAGGGAAACUUACGCUAAUACCGCAUACGACCUACGGGUGAAAGCAGGGGAUCUUCGGACCUUGCGCGAUUGAAUGAGCCGAUGUCGGAUUAGAUAGUUGGCGGGGUAAAGGCCCACCAAGGCGACGAUCCGUAGCUGGUCUGAGAGGAUGAUCAGCCACACUGGAACUGAGACACGGUCCAGACUCCUACGGGAGGCAGCAGUGGGGAAUAUUGGACAAUGGGCGCAAGCCUGAUCCAGCCAUACCGCGUGGGUGAAGAAGGCCUUCGGGUUGUAAAGCCCUUUUGUUGGGAAAGAAAAGCAGCAGGUUAAUACCCCGCUGUUCUGACGGUACCCAAAGAAUAAGCACCGGCUAACUUCGUG